GACGAACGCUGGCGGCGUGCUUAACACAUGCAAGUCGAACGGAAAGGCCCUGCUUUUGUGGGGUGCUCGAGUGGCGAACGGGUGAGUAACACGUGAGUAACCUGCCCUUGACUUUGGGAUAACUUCAGGAAACUGGGGCUAAUACCGGAUAGGAGCUCCUGCUGCAUGGUGGGGGUUGGAAAGUUUCGGCGGUUGGGGAUGGACUCGCGGCUUAUCAGCUUGUUGGUGGGGUAGUGGCUUACCAAGGCUUUGACGGGUAGCCGGCCUGAGAGGGUGACCGGCCACAUUGGGACUGAGAUACGGCCCAGACUCCUACGGGAGGCAGCAGUGGGGAAUAUUGCACAAUGGGCGGAAGCAUGAUGCAGCAACGCCGCGUGCGGGAUGACGGCCUUCGGGUUGUAAACCGCUUUCGCCUGUGACGAAGCGUGAGUGACGGUAAUGGUAAAGAAGCACCGGCUAACUACGUG
RNAcentral lists this ribosomal RNA (467 nucleotides) under uncultured bacterium. RNAcentral describes it as "partial 16S ribosomal RNA". It matches the Rfam family "Bacterial small subunit ribosomal RNA", at positions 28 to 507 of the family's 1533-position model. The record is from RNAcentral.